RNAcentral lists this ribosomal RNA (253 nucleotides) under uncultured bacterium. RNAcentral describes it as "partial 16S ribosomal RNA". It matches the Rfam family "Bacterial small subunit ribosomal RNA", at positions 524 to 776 of the family's 1533-position model. The record is from RNAcentral.
UACGUAGGUGGCAAGCGUUGUCCGUAUUUACUGGUCGUAAAGAGCGCGCAGGCGGUCGUUCAAGUCGCGUGUGAAAGCCCCCGGCUCAACUGGGGAGGGUCACGCGAUACUGAUCGACUCGAAGGCAGGAGAGGGUAGUGGAAUUCCCGGUGUAGUGGUGAAAUGCGUAGAUAUCGGGAGGAACACCAGUGGCGAAGGCGACUACCUGGCCUGUUCUUGACGCUGAGGCGCGAAAGCUAGGGGAGCAAACGGG